Molecule: long non-coding RNA, 1641 nt
Organism: Girardinichthys multiradiatus
Lineage: Eukaryota; Metazoa; Chordata; Actinopteri; Cyprinodontiformes; Goodeidae
Exons: 3
Source: RefSeq, a predicted model, not a curated record
GCUGAAGAUCAAAUUACAUAUGCUACAGGCGAUGCAGGAGCAUCAUUCACUUUGAGUUGCACUCUUUCAUUUGUUAAUGAAGCAUAAAUUAGACACAGGGGUGUUGAAAGAAACAAAGCAAUAGUAUUUUAAAUUGGUCAUGUUUUAUGUAACGAAUAACACUGUAGUUGUAAGUCAUUUAAAGUACAAUCAUUAUUUUUUUUCUUGUUCUCGCACACAUUUGUAAACAUCCAUCCAUUCAUGCCCGCUUCUUCCAUACAGGGAAGCUUGUGCCUAUCUCUAUCUCCAGUGGUCUACGGGUGAGAGGUACACCCUGGACAGGUCGCCACUCUAUCACAGGCAUUUGCAAACAAUGUUUUCUUAUGGGGUUAGCAGUCAUUUAAUGAGCAGCUUUUCAUUUCUGUACUGUUACUAUCUGUGUCUAAUUUCUGACUUUAGCUAUUGCAUAUUAUCCAGUUUGGAUAUUGUUACGGCCCAAGUCAGCCAGGGGUAGGUUGGAAGUAAACAUUUAAACCAGAUGUUAUUGGUUUUAUAAAAGAACAGAGCAGUUUAUUGCUUUUCAUUUAAGGUUUCUCUUUUUUUUUUUUUUUUUAAUACAAGCAUAGACUUAACAAGUACAAACCCUUAAAAAGGAGGUAAAACCCAAAAUACCAAAUUAACAACAACAUACACAACAACCAUUCAUUUAACUAAAAAUAAUCCCACAAUAAUCUGGACAAGAAGCUAAUUUGCCACUGGUUCGUUCUUAAAACAAGUUUAACAAAAAAAAGGGGCCUGAAUAGCUUUAGUCCUUAUUUCAAGUAAACAAACAACUAAAAGAAAAACUUAGGAAGCUUUCAACAAACCCCUUAAAGCCAAGUUAGAAAAAGGUUUUAACAAUCAAACAAGCUCAACAACCAAAGUCAAUGGUUUCAAGACAACCAGAACGAACGAGGCGAGUUGUUCAGUCUAAAUCACAGCCACCCUUAGCAGCAGGCGCAGAGAGUUUUUACAGGGUGAUCUCUUGGCGGCGCAUUGGCGGAAACAGGCAAUGAACAGUCCAACAUGAGCUCCCGGGGACGUCCAGCAGAAGGAGUGCAGAGCGCCUAGAAAGAUCCGAGUCCAACAGGAACAACAAAGAAGAGAGCAUCCAGCGAAGAAGAGAGUAACCAGGGGAUGUCCAGCCGAAGAGAAGAAGAGAUCCAAGCCCAACAGAAACAGCGCUACCAACAGCAACGAAGAAAACGGAGCCAGUCUGUUGCCAAGGUGGCUUCGGGACUUUUGCUAAGGAUCGAAGAGACUCACGGAUCACGGAUGGAAUCUCACGGAUUAUGUCACAUGAAAAAAAAAGGUUCCCGUCAUAAUUCAAAGUGUGGCAAAAGAGAAGAAGAAGCAAGGCUCCACACAGACAACUAAUGGAUGAGAUAGAGAGCAUCAGGGCUUUGUCAGGAUUGAGCACCAGGCUUUUCUUCUCCACCACUCACAUUCACGACACCUUGGCGCCCUCCACACCCUUCAUUGGAGCUACUAAUGCUAAUUUAGCUUUAUUAAUUCCCACCAAGUUUGUCCUCAAUCUGUAAAAACUGCAUCCAUUCACCUGUCUUUUUUUAAGGCAGUGUGGAAAAUAAAAGUAGAGGCAUUGUGAGAUGGUCUCUAUCUAUG